AUCUUAUUCCAAAAUAAAUAUGACGUAAGUGAAACCGUAAUCUUUCGGCGACUCCUCACCACCACCAUCAUCCUCGUUCAUGCUCUGCGCUGCCAGGCCGGAGGUUGCUCGCAGCUGACGUUCCUCGGUCGUCUCCCCGUCGUUUCACCGAUCUCCUCACGUCUGUUCCAGUGUUCCUCUGUUCUUCUGGUUUCUCUUCUCUUGUUGCUUCUUUUGGCUUCUGCUUCUGCUACUGAUUCUUCUUCUGGCUUAAGCUUCUGCUGGUUCAACUGCUUCUGCUGCUUCUUCUUCGUCUGGGCAUCUGGGCUUCUGAUUUUUCUUCUGUUUAAAUUCUGGAAGUUUACUCUUCUGUCAAAUAUGAAUAGCUAGGAACUAAUAGUUUGUUAGAGAUUAGUGUUAUUUGCUUCUGUUUCGCUUGCAAUUUAGGUUCACUUCUCCAUCUUCAUUAAACACAAUGAAAUAAGUUUCUUGCAUGUCAUUGGUUGCAGUUCUUGAUUUAUGUUUGUUCCUUUUUGGAUCUUGGACAUGCGUUUCAAAUGCCUAAAAACUUGUAAUAUGUGACUGUGUAAAAGGAUUUGCUGCAUCUUUAUAGGCUAUUCCCUUGAAGCUGCUUGCUUUCCUUUGAUGAACUGUUAUAAUAGAUUUGGAGCUUAAUCAGAAUUUAGAAUUGUGAAUAUUUGAAGAAAACCGUCAAGUCUUAUUAUUACAUUUUUCUCUAUGUCUGGACAAUACAAUCAACAUAGACCCCUUUAUUAAAUCAUUCACAUUUAACAUGUUACUCUUUUCUCUGAAUUUAUUUAUUUAUUUAUUCUUGUGUUUGCAUUGCUCUAUGCAUUUAUGUAAUUAUGUAUGCAUAUGCAAAGGUUCCUGAUUAUUUAUUUUUUGUCAUCAUCCUUUUAGUAAAUUAGUUGGAGGGAGGAGGACUCACCAUAUGGAACUCUUUACCCAACAGAAGGUUCAAAGAUACGAAGAAUUCGUUGAACCGGAUCUUCAACGCGCUAUCGAUGAGUGGACAAGGUCUUUGAACAACAGAAAAUUUUGUAUCCUUUUUCAGUUUUAUGUAUUCUGGUGACAGAUCAAUUAGGACCGCCACCAUAUAUUUUUAUCAUCCAUGUCUUGUAAAAUCCAUGGUUACAUCAAAGCCCCCUAUCAAGUGGAUCAUGCCAAUAAGCUGAUUUAGGGAUUAGGUUGCAAUUUGCAUCCCAAGACUGCCUCUUUAAACUAACUUGUUCAUUAUUAUUACAUACUACAUAAUUUUAGGAAUUUCAAAAGAGAAAAAGAAUAUUUAUGUAUCUAAUUAUUUAUAUAUAUCCGUGUGAAACUUGUUAUAUUACAUACCAUCUAUGAAUUCAAUGUUGCACUCUACAAAGUUCCUUGUGUUAUAAAGGGAUUCACUUGAAAUUUUGUUCUCAGUGCUGAUUUGCGAAGAAACAUUGAAAACCUAGAGAAGAAUAGUGUUACCAGUCUAAGAACUCUGGUCAAUCUUGCAUCCGAGGUGUACUUGCAAGCAGAAGUGCCCAAUACGCAACAUAUUUUUGUGGAUGUAGGGUUGGAAUUCCAUGUUGAAUUUACUUGGUCUGAAGCUUUGAACUACAUACAGAAAAGGGAAGAAACAAUAGCUAAACUGAAAGGUCGCAGCUGAUAAUUGAUCAGUGUAUAGAAUUACUCUGGCUUGCAAAUAGAUGAGUACAAUCAGUCAAUCGCAUCAAUUAAAGCGCAGAUCAAGCUGGUUCUCGAAGGGAUUCGAGAAUUACUACAACUUCCAGCUGAGAAAUCAUUACCUGAGCGGAAUUUUUGAUGCUUACUGAGUAUAAUUCCAGAUCAUUCAUCUUUAGUCUCUUGAACAAUUGUAACUUCCGGAUCAUUCAUGUUUAGUCUCUUGCGAACAAUUGUAAAGGAACAAUGCAAGGCAAUGAUGUGAUCAUGUGAAACAGGACAAAGAUUUUAUUUACCCCAAAUAUUGUCAUUCUAAUUGCAUAUAUUAUAAUGAUUAAACACGAAACCAAAACAUUGAUUAAGAACCCAAAGGGGCAAGUCUGUUCAUCUGUGAUUCUCUUUAGUUGAAAUGCUGAUCUUAGUAUCUCCC
Molecule: RNA transcript, 2086 nt
Organism: Arachis stenosperma
Lineage: Eukaryota; Viridiplantae; Streptophyta; Magnoliopsida; Fabales; Fabaceae
Exons: 6
Source: RefSeq, a predicted model, not a curated record